AUUGAACGCUGGCGGCAUGCUUUACACAUGCAAGUCGAACGGCAGCGCGGGCUUCGGCCUGGCGGCGAGUGGCGAACGGGUGAGUAAUACAUCGGAACGUGCCCAGUAGUGGGGGAUAGCUCGGCGAAAGCCGGAUUAAUACCGCAUACGACCUGAGGGUGAAAGCGGGGGAUCUUCGGAGCUCGCGGUUUUGGAGCGGCCGAUGGCAGAUUAGCUAGUUGGUGGGGUAAAGGCCUACCAAGGCGACGAUCUGUAGCUGGUCUGAGAGGACGACCAGCCACACUGGGACUGAGACACGGCCCAGACUCCUACGGGAGGCAGCAGUGGGGAAUUUUGGACAAUGGGCGAAAGCCUGAUCCAGCAAUGCCGCGUGUGUGAUGAAGGCCUUCGGGUUGUAAAGCACUUUUGGCGGGAACGAAAAGGACUGUGCCAAUACCACGGUUCGAUGACGGUACCCGCAGAAUAAGCACCGGCUAACUACGUG
This 484-nucleotide ribosomal RNA is filed under the name uncultured bacterium. RNAcentral's name for it is "partial 16S ribosomal RNA". It matches the Rfam family "Bacterial small subunit ribosomal RNA", at positions 29 to 507 of the family's 1533-position model. The record is from RNAcentral.